This 2904-nucleotide ribosomal RNA is filed under the name Escherichia coli. RNAcentral's name for it is "23S ribosomal RNA". It matches the Rfam family "Bacterial large subunit ribosomal RNA". Lineage: Bacteria; Pseudomonadati; Pseudomonadota; Gammaproteobacteria; Enterobacterales; Enterobacteriaceae. The record is from RNAcentral.
GGUUAAGCGACUAAGCGUACACGGUGGAUGCCCUGGCAGUCAGAGGCGAUGAAGGACGUGCUAAUCUGCGAUAAGCGUCGGUAAGGUGAUAUGAACCGUUAUAACCGGCGAUUUCCGAAUGGGGAAACCCAGUGUGUUUCGACACACUAUCAUUAACUGAAUCCAUAGGUUAAUGAGGCGAACCGGGGGAACUGAAACAUCUAAGUACCCCGAGGAAAAGAAAUCAACCGAGAUUCCCCCAGUAGCGGCGAGCGAACGGGGAGCAGCCCAGAGCCUGAAUCAGUGUGUGUGUUAGUGGAAGCGUCUGGAAAGGCGUGCGAUACAGGGUGACAGCCCCGUACACAAAAAUGCACAUACUGUGAGCUCGAUGAGUAGGGCGGGACACGUGGUAUCCUGUCUGAAUAUGGGGGGACCAUCCUCCAAGGCUAAAUACUCCUGACUGACCGAUAGUGAACCAGUACCGUGAGGGAAAGGCGAAAAGAACCCCGGCGAGGGGAGUGAAAAAGAACCUGAAACCGUGUACGUACAAGCAGUGGGAGCACGCUUAGGCGUGUGACUGCGUACCUUUUGUAUAAUGGGUCAGCGACUUAUAUUCUGUAGCAAGGUUAACCGAAUAGGGGAGCCGAAGGGAAACCGAGUCUUAACUGGGCGUUAAGUUGCAGGGUAUAGACCCGAAACCCGGUGAUCUAGCCAUGGGCAGGUUGAAGGUUGGGUAACACUAACUGGAGGACCGAACCGACUAAUGUUGAAAAAUUAGCGGAUGACUUGUGGCUGGGGGUGAAAGGCCAAUCAAACCGGGAGAUAGCUGGUUCUCCCCGAAAGCUAUUUAGGUAGCGCCUCGUGAAUUCAUCUCCGGGGGUAGAGCACUGUUUCGGCAAGGGGGUCAUCCCGACUUACCAACCCGAUGCAAACUGCGAAUACCGGAGAAUGUUAUCACGGGAGACACACGGCGGGUGCUAACGUCCGUCGUGAAGAGGGAAACAACCCAGACCGCCAGCUAAGGUCCCAAAGUCAUGGUUAAGUGGGAAACGAUGUGGGAAGGCCCAGACAGCCAGGAUGUUGGCUUAGAAGCAGCCAUCAUUUAAAGAAAGCGUAAUAGCUCACUGGUCGAGUCGGCCUGCGCGGAAGAUGUAACGGGGCUAAACCAUGCACCGAAGCUGCGGCAGCGACGCUGAUGCGUUGUUGGGUAGGGGAGCGUUCUGUAAGCCUGCGAAGGUGUGCUGUGAGGCAUGCUGGAGGUAUCAGAAGUGCGAAUGCUGACAUAAGUAACGAUAAAGCGGGUGAAAAGCCCGCUCGCCGGAAGACCAAGGGUUCCUGUCCAACGUUAAUCGGGGCAGGGUGAGUCGACCCCUAAGGCGAGGCCGAAAGGCGUAGUCGAUGGGAAACAGGUUAAUAUUCCUGUACUUGGUGUUACUGCGAAGGGGGGACGGAGAAGGCUAUGUUGGCCGGGCGACGGUUGUCCCGGUUUAAGCGUGUAGGCUGGUUUUCCAGGCAAAUCCGGAAAAUCAAGGCUGAGGCGUGAUGACGAGGCACUACGGUGCUGAAGCAACAAAUGCCCUGCUUCCAGGAAAAGCCUCUAAGCAUCAGGUAACAUCAAAUCGUACCCCAAACCGACACAGGUGGUCAGGUAGAGAAUACCAAGGCGCUUGAGAGAACUCGGGUGAAGGAACUAGGCAAAAUGGUGCCGUAACUUCGGGAGAAGGCACGCUGAUAUGUAGGUGAAGUCCCUCGCGGAUGGAGCUGAAAUCAGUCGAAGAUACCAGCUGGCUGCAACUGUUUAUUAAAAACACAGCACUGUGCAAACACGAAAGUGGACGUAUACGGUGUGACGCCUGCCCGGUGCCGGAAGGUUAAUUGAUGGGGUCAGCGCAAGCGAAGCUCUUGAUCGAAGCCCCGGUAAACGGCGGCCGUAACUAUAACGGUCCUAAGGUAGCGAAAUUCCUUGUCGGGUAAGUUCCGACCUGCACGAAUGGCGUAAUGAUGGCCAGGCUGUCUCCACCCGAGACUCAGUGAAAUUGAACUCGCUGUGAAGAUGCAGUGUACCCGCGGCAAGACGGAAAGACCCCGUGAACCUUUACUAUAGCUUGACACUGAACAUUGAGCCUUGAUGUGUAGGAUAGGUGGGAGGCUUUGAAGUGUGGACGCCAGUCUGCAUGGAGCCGACCUUGAAAUACCACCCUUUAAUGUUUGAUGUUCUAACGUUGACCCGUGAUCCGGGUUGCGGACAGUGUCUGGUGGGUAGUUUGACUGGGGCGGUCUCCUCCUAAAGAGUAACGGAGGAGCACGAAGGUUGGCUAAUCCUGGUCGGACAUCAGGAGGUUAGUGCAAUGGCAUAAGCCAGCUUGACUGCGAGCGUGACGGCGCGAGCAGGUGCGAAAGCAGGUCAUAGUGAUCCGGUGGUUCUGAAUGGAAGGGCCAUCGCUCAACGGAUAAAAGGUACUCCGGGGAUAACAGGCUGAUACCGCCCAAGAGUUCAUAUCGACGGCGGUGUUUGGCACCUCGAUGUCGGCUCAUCACAUCCUGGGGCUGAAGUAGGUCCCAAGGGUAUGGCUGUUCGCCAUUUAAAGUGGUACGCGAGCUGGGUUUAGAACGUCGUGAGACAGUUCGGUCCCUAUCUGCCGUGGGCGCUGGAGAAUUGAGGGGGGCUGCUCCUAGUACGAGAGGACCGGAGUGGACGCAUCACUGGUGUUCGGGUUGUCAUGCCAAUGGCACUGCCCGGUAGCUAAAUGCGGAAGAGAUAAGUGCUGAAAGCAUCUAAGCACGAAACUUGCCCCGAGAUGAGUUCUCCCUGACUCCUUGAGAGUCCUGAAGGAACGUUGAAGACGACGACGUUGAUAGGCCGGGUGUGUAAGCGCAGCGAUGCGUUGAGCUAACCGGUACUAAUGAACCGUGAGGCUUAACCUU